This 344-nucleotide unclassified non-coding RNA is filed under the name soil metagenome. RNAcentral's name for it is "partial contains 5.8S ribosomal RNA, internal transcribed spacer 2, and large subunit ribosomal RNA". The stretch from base 1 to 120 matches the Rfam family "5.8S ribosomal RNA", at positions 35 to 154 of the family's 154-position model. The record is from RNAcentral.
GAUGAAGAACGCAGUGAAAUGCGAUACGUAAUGUGAAUUGCAGAAUUCAGUGAAUCAUCGAGUCUUUGAACGCACAUUGCGCCCCCUGGUAUUCCGGGGGGCAUGCCUGUCCGAGCGUCAUUGCUGCCCUCAAGCACGGCUUGUGUGUUGGGCCUCCGUCCUCCUCCCGGGGGACGGGCCCGAAAGGCAGCGGCGGCACCGCGUCCGGUCCUCGAGCGUAUGGGGCUUCGUCACCCGCUCUUGUAGGCCCGGCCGGCGCUUGCCGACACAUCAAUCUUUUUUCCAGGUUGACCUCGGAUCAGGUGGGGAUACCCGCUGAACUUAAGCAUAUCAUAAGCGGAGGA